AGUGAACGCUGGCGGCGUGCUUAACACAUGCAAGUCGAACGAGAACGGGCUAUAGCUUGCUAUAGUUGUCAGCUAAGUGGCGCACGGGUGAGUAAUGUAUAGGUAAUAUGCCUCUUACUAAGGGAUAACAAAUGGAAACGUUUGCUAAUACCUUAUACUCCUUAUUAACAGAAGUUAAUAAGGGAAAGAUUUAUUGGUAUGAGAUUAGCCUGUAUUGUAUCAGUUAGUUGGUGGGGUAAUGGCUUACCAAGACUAUGACACAUAACUGGUUUGAGAGGAUGAUCAGUCACACUGGAACUGAGACAUGGUCCAGACUCCUACGGGAGGCAGCAGUGGGGAAUAUUGCACAAUGGACGAAAGUCUGAUGCAGCAACGCCGCGUGGAGGAUGACACAUUUCGGUGCGUAAACUCCUUUUAUAUGAGAAGAUAAUGACGGUAUUAUACGAAUAAGCACCGGCUAACUCCGUGCCAGCAGCCGCCGUAA
RNAcentral lists this ribosomal RNA (484 nucleotides) under uncultured bacterium. RNAcentral's name for it is "partial 16S ribosomal RNA". It matches the Rfam family "Bacterial small subunit ribosomal RNA", at positions 29 to 523 of the family's 1533-position model. The record is from RNAcentral.